RNAcentral lists this ribosomal RNA (440 nucleotides) under uncultured bacterium. RNAcentral describes it as "partial 16S ribosomal RNA". It matches the Rfam family "Bacterial small subunit ribosomal RNA", at positions 338 to 795 of the family's 1533-position model. The record is from RNAcentral.
CCUACGGGAGGCUGCAGUAGGGAAUAUUGCUCAAUGGGGGCAACCCUGAAGCAGCAACGCCGCGUGGAGGAUGAAGGUUUUCGGAUUGUAAACUCCUUUUGUUAGAGAAGAUAAUGACGGUAUCUAACGAAUAAGCACCGGCUAACUCCGUGCCAGCAGCCGCGGUAAUACGGAGGGUGCAAGCGUUAUUCGGAAUCACUGGGCGUAAAGAGCGCGUAGGCGGGAUAGCAAGUCAGAUGUGAAAUCCUAUGGCUUAACCGUAGAACUGCAUUUGAAACUGUUAUUCUAGAGUAUGGGAGAGGUAGGUGGAAUUCGUGGUGUAGGGGUAAAAUCCGUAGAGAUCAAGAGGAAUACUCAUUGCGAAGGCGACCUACUAGAACAUAACUGACGCUGAUGCGCGAAAGCGUGGGGAGCAAACAGGAUUAGAUACCCGGGUAGUC